RNAcentral lists this ribosomal RNA (583 nucleotides) under uncultured cyanobacterium. RNAcentral describes it as "bacterial SSU rRNA". It matches the Rfam family "Bacterial small subunit ribosomal RNA", at positions 100 to 717 of the family's 1533-position model. The record is from RNAcentral. Lineage: Bacteria; Bacillati; Cyanobacteriota.
GGACGGGUGAGUAACGCGUGAGAAUCUGCCCUCAGGACGGGGACAACAGCUGGAAACGGCUGCUAAUACCCGAUGUGCCGAGAGGUGAAACAUUUAUGGCCUGAGGAUGAGCUCGCGUCUGAUUAGCUAGUUGGUGGGGUAAAAGCCUACCAAGGCGACGAUCAGUAGCUGGUCUGAGAGGAUGAUCAGCCACACUGGGACUGAGACACGGCCCAGACUCCUACGGGAGGCAGCAGUGGGGAAUUUUCCGCAAUGGGCGCAAGCCUGACGGAGCAAGACCGCGUGCGGGAGGACGGCCUAUUGGUUGUAAACCGCUUUUGAUAGGGAAGAAGUUCUGACGGUACCUAUCGAAUCAGCAUCGGCUAACUCCGUGCCAGCAGCCGCGGUAAUACGGAGGAUGCAAGCGUUAUCCGGAAUUAUUGGGCGUAAAGCGUCCGUAGGUGGUUGUUCAAGUCUGCUGUUAAAGCGUGCGGCUUAACCGCAUACCAGCAGUGGAAACUGGGCAACUAGAGUGCGGUAGGGGUCAGGGGAAUUCCCAGUGUAGCGGUGAAAUGCGUAGAUAUUGGGAAGAACACCGGUGGCG